AUCGAUACCCCACGGUAANUUUCACUUUAAAUUUAAAAAUUUAUAUACCUCCAUCUUAAGAAUCAAUUUCAAAAUAUUUCUCUAAAAAAUAAAUAAAAAGUUAGGUCAAGGUGUAACUCAUAUUAAAGAUUUAGAUGAAUUACAAUAAAAAUAAUUUAAAGAAUAUAAAUUUAAAUACUUAUACAAAUUAGGAUUUAAAAGUAAUAUUUCAAUAAUAUUAUAAUAUGAUUCAGAUAAUUAACGUGUACACAUCGCCC
This 257-nucleotide ribosomal RNA is filed under the name Spiricoelotes sp. ZZ036. Its description in RNAcentral is "partial 12S ribosomal RNA". Lineage: Eukaryota; Metazoa; Arthropoda; Arachnida; Araneae; Agelenidae. The record is from RNAcentral.